GACAGAGGGGGCUAGCGUUGCUCGGAAUCACUGGGCGUAAAGGGUGCGUAGGCGGGUCUUUAAGUCAGGGGUGAAAUCCUGGAGCUCAACUCCAGAACUGCCUUUGAUACUGAGGAUCUUGAGUACGGGAGAGGUGAGUGGAACUGCGAGUGUAGAGGUGAAAUUCGUAGAUAUUCGCAAGAACACCAGUGGCGAAGGCGGCUCACUGGCCCGUUACUGACGCUUAGGCACGAAAGCGUGGGGAGCAAACAGG
RNAcentral lists this ribosomal RNA (253 nucleotides) under uncultured bacterium. RNAcentral's name for it is "partial 16S ribosomal RNA". It matches the Rfam family "Bacterial small subunit ribosomal RNA", at positions 524 to 776 of the family's 1533-position model. The record is from RNAcentral.